AGUGCUACCAUGAGAAGUACAGCCCCAGGAAGCAGGAGAUGCAAGCCUUCAACAUGCUGAAGGUGUCCUUGGCUCCCUGCAUAGAGGCCUUGAUACUGCUGGAUCGCCUCUGCUACCUGAAAGAGCAGGAGAACACGUGUUUUUUCAGCCGUGGUGCCUCUGUUUGAUCCGCUGAUGUCACCGCGAUGUUACGGAACCUUCGCCUUAAACGGAGCGAGUGAAUGUUCCAAAAACAAACAUUCCUAAAUCUUGUUUCCUUACUGUUUCCCCCCCUUAUGGUCCGCUACCAUCAGGAGAAACCUUGCUGCAAGUCAUAUUUCGUGACAAUUUCAUGAAACGCAUCUUUGAGUUCUCUGCCACAUCCUGUGACUCUGGACUGAAAAGGACAAUUUGCUGUUCCCUCGUCACAUUCCGACUGUUCUCUCCUGAUGUGGCCCUUCUGGACAGCACAUCAGAAAUUCUCCUUACUGCCCUAAGAAACCAGUUUCUCUUCAGUUUCCUGGGGAUUAGUCCAUUCGGUUUUGUUAUUAGUUUAAUUCCCACACAUAGAGGGCUCUUAAUGGAUUCAGCAGUGAUGCGGCACAUUAAUCUGUUUUUAUCUGUAUCAGUCCUAAAUACUGCACAUUAAAUAUUCUCAUCACUGAAAACUCAAUAGAUCCAAGAGUUUUCAGACAUUAAACGUCUUUAUAAAUUAGUGUGUUUCUGAUAAGGGGUGGUAAUAAUGGGAGUGGAAGAAUUAAUGAUUGUUGUGUAAUUUUAUUAUUUUAUUCAGAAUCGUUCUGUUAACAUGUGCAUGUGUGUGUACGCACACACACAUGCAUGUGUGCGUGUGUGUUUGAGAGCAAGAGUGAGUAGGAGUGUGUGUGUGAGUGUGUGGGGUGGAAUCAGGAUUUGGUUUAUGAUGCAUGUGCGUAGUUUCUGAGGAACACCCAUCCCCAGAAACCCACCUAUCCCAAAUUAAGCACUCCAAGAUGUUAUUCUCUGUUUGCUGGAAACAGCUCAUUCUGUGCUGCUGGUGUGUCAUUUCCUGUCAUUUGCCCCCCCCCCCCCCCCCUUAAUGCAAACUCUCUGGCCAGUGCCUCUUCACUCUGUGCGCCAGUAAACGGGCGUGGCCACUUCCUGUAAGCCACUGGAGAGGGCAGAGGGCACGGGAAGCAGGCCGAGAUGUUGCUGAAGCAGAAAACAUCUGCAAGUUGUUUUAAAAUAGACACCCGCCCCCUCACAGAGUCAUUCCCCUGUCAGCAUCAGAAAUCCUUACAUGCCCUGUCACUUAUCUUUAAAAGAAGAAAUGUCAUUUCUCCAUUUUAGAAGCCAGCAGCAUGACUUCAUGAUCAUUAGCAUGAGACCUUUGCCUUUGUAUUGUCGGGCACUUAUUAGUGGGAGUCUGAAUUGUCGAAGCGUUUGUACUUGCCUAAAUGAGUGGUUGCUCCGCUAUGGGGUAUCUGGGGAGUCUUCAUAUGGAAGCACCUGUGUGUUUUUAUGAGUUAACUGAGCGAUCUGGUCUUAUGGUCCAUCUUUUCAACAUCCCGCCAGUUUAUUGAAUGUGCUGUGGCUCAGUCUCACCAGAGCAGGAAGACACCUUAUAAAGCGCAUUAAGCCUUACAAACAUACAGGACCCAUGGCAAGCGAGGCAAAGCAACCGCAGCAAUGUGGAAAAUACAUUAGCUCUGCUUUGGGCUGUUUGCACAUCCUGAAUAUGUUCUAUAAUUAUGAAUUCAGAAAGAGCAAUUCGUGAUUAAGUGGAGUUCAUAAUACAUCGCCAUUGUCAAGUAACAUGCAUUAAUGCAAAAACAGCCAAGUAUUACAAGCCUUUCUACACUACACACAAAAGCAUUCUCAAGAGAACAGAUUGUUGUUUUCGGAUGUUGUGGAAGUUCUGUGUGACACUUGUCAAGGCGGUGUACGUCGGUAAUGCUCGGCACGUGUGCUUUUGGUGAAUGUAGAGCUGUGUAUGUGCGUAGCGUGGAUAUAAAAAACAUUACGCGGAACAGUAGGCGUGCGCACGGACCCGUGUUCCACACGCCGCACUAUUGCUUUGUUUAUGAAGUGGCCAGGAUGC
This is a long non-coding RNA of Anguilla rostrata (American eel), 2059 nucleotides long. RefSeq lists it as uncharacterized. NCBI's taxonomy places the organism in Eukaryota, Metazoa, Chordata, Actinopteri, Anguilliformes, Anguillidae. The transcript has 3 exons. The record is from RefSeq and is a predicted model, not a curated record.